GACGAACGCUGGCGGCGUGCCUAAUACAUGCAAGUUGAGCGCUGAAGGUUGGUACUUGUACCAACUGGAUGAGCAGCGAACGGGUGAGUAACGCGUGGGGAAUCUGCCUUUGAGCGGGGGACAACAUUUGGAAACGAAUGCUAAUACCGCAUAAAAACUUUAAACACAAGUUUUAAGUUUGAAAGAAGCACUUGCUUCACUCAAAGAUGAUCCCGCGUUGGAUUAGGCAGUUGGUGAGGUAAAGGCUCAACCAGGCGAUGAUACAUAACCCACCUUAGAGGGUGGACGGCCCAAUUGGGAACGGGACAACGGCCAAAACUCUUCGGGAGGGAGCAGUAAGGAAACUUCGGCAAUGGGGGGAAGUCUUGCCGGGCAAAGCCGGGGGAGUGAAGAAGGGUUUCGGAUCGUAAAACUCUGUUGGUAGGGAAGAACGUUGGUGGGAGUGGAAAGCUCAUCAAGUGACGGUAACUACCCAGAAAGGGACGGCUAACUACGUG
Molecule: ribosomal RNA, 497 nt
Filed under: uncultured bacterium
Lineage: Bacteria
Description: partial 16S ribosomal RNA
Rfam family: Bacterial small subunit ribosomal RNA
Source: RNAcentral